CCUUGAAAUACCACCCUUGUACGUUUGAUGUUCUAACGUUGACCCCUAAUCGGGGUUGCGGACAGUGCCUGGUGGGUAGUUUGACUGGGGCGGUCUCCUCCCAAAGAGUAACGGAGGAGCACGAAGGUUGGCUAAUCCUGGUCGGACAUCAGGAGGUUAGUGCAAUGGCAUAAGCCAGCUUAACUGCGAGACAGACACGUCGAGCAGGUACGAAAGUAGGUCAUAGUGAUCCGGUGGUUCUGUAUGGAAGGGCCAUCGCUCAACGGAUAAAAGGUACUCCGGGGAUAACAGGCUGAUACCGCCCAAGAGUUCAUAUCGACGGCGGUGUUUGGCACCUCGAUGUCGGCUCAUCACAUCCUGGGGCUGAAGUCGGUCCCAAGGGUAUGGCUGUUCGCCAUUUAAAGUGGUACGCGAGCUGGGUUUAGAACGUCGUGAGACAGUUCGGUCCCUAUCUGGUGUGGGCGUUGGAUGAUUGAGGGGAGCUGCUCCUAGUACGAGAGGACCGGAGUGGACGAACCGCUGGUGUUCGGGUUGUUAUGCCAAUAGCAUUGCCCGGUAGCUACGUUCGGAAUCGAUAACCGCUGAAAGCAUCUAAGCGGGAAGCGAGCCCCAAGAUGAGUCAUCCCUGGCAGUUUAACUGUCCUAAAGGGUUGUUGAAGACUACGACGUUGAUAGGCAGGAUGUGGAAGCGUUGCAAGGCGUUAAGCUAACCUGUACUAAUUGCCCGUGAGGCUUAACCAU
RNAcentral lists this ribosomal RNA (741 nucleotides) under Paraglaciecola chathamensis. RNAcentral describes it as "partial 23S ribosomal RNA". It matches the Rfam family "Bacterial large subunit ribosomal RNA", at positions 2190 to 2925 of the family's 2925-position model. The record is from RNAcentral. Lineage: Bacteria; Pseudomonadati; Pseudomonadota; Gammaproteobacteria; Alteromonadales; Alteromonadaceae.